This 253-nucleotide ribosomal RNA is filed under the name uncultured bacterium. Its description in RNAcentral is "partial 16S ribosomal RNA". It matches the Rfam family "Bacterial small subunit ribosomal RNA", at positions 524 to 776 of the family's 1533-position model. The record is from RNAcentral.
UACAGAGGGUGCAAGCGUUGUUCGGAAUUACUGGGCGUAAAGCGCGCGUAGGCGGCUUUGUAAGUUAGAGGUGAAAGCCCGGAGCUCAACUCCGGAAUUGCCUUUAAGACUGCAUCGCUAGAAUCAUGGAGAGGUGAGUGGAAUUCCGAGUGUAGAGGUGAAAUUCGUAGAUAUUCGGAAGAACACCAGUGGCGAAGGCGACUCACUGGACAUGUAUUGACGCUGAGGUGCGAAAGCGUGGGGAGCAAACAGG